UAAACACACAUUUGACUUUCUUUUUUACUCAAACUGAACAUUUGAGAGGGGCUUUGCCCGGCAGCCCUGCCUCCCUCUUCUUCUUCUUCUUCUUCUUCUUCUUUUUCUUCUUCUUCUUCUUCUUCUUUUCGCUCAAAGUCUGUGAAACUCCGGGGCUAACAAAUAAGAUAUAUAUUUAUAGGGAGAUAUUUAUAUGUAUAGAGAGAGGGAGAGAUAGGGAUAUAAACCGAGCUGUCUCGCUCCGUGUGUGUAGAUACAUAUAUAUAGCUAUUUAAUUCUUCCAUCUCUCCAGGUCGUGGCUGAAUUAUUUUAAGAUUUUUUAACUUUUUUUUUUUUUUUUAAAUCUCGCUUCCUUUUUUUUUUUUUGUAUUUCUUUUUUUUUCCUUUUUUUUUUUUUUUUCCCUUCUGGUGUGUGUGGCUUCGCCUUGAAAAGCGAGCGGGAGCCAGAGCAUCUGCAUUUGGACUUUUUUGGUCUUUUUUUUGUUUCUUCACUCCGGGGCUUUUCUUUCUUUCUUUUUUUUUUUUUUUUUUCCCUCCUUUUUAAAAUUUUUUUAUCAUUUUUGAAUUUUUCCCCCUCGACUUUUUUACCUCCUCACCCUCGCCCACCCCCUUUCUUUUUGGGGUACCUCUCGCUUUUUUUUUUUUUCCCCUCCUUAAUUUUCCCCUUCCCCCCCCCCCCCCCUUUUCUCUCAGCGUGGGGGUGUUUUUUUGGGUUUCGCUUUUUUUUUUGUGUGUUGUUUAUUUUUUUUCCGCCUGUGUCACUCUGUCAAGUUUAUCCCAAACAAAGUUUUCAGAGAGCGAGAGCGAGGCGGAGGAGAAACGGCUUUUCGCCUUUUUUUUUUUUUUUUUUAUCCUUUUCAUUCUCCCCCCACUCUUUUCCCCUGCUGUUUUUCCAACCUGCCAGCGGAGAGAGGGGGGCGAGCCCGGCCCCCCUCGCCCCAAAGACCCCCCAGGCAGCUUUUAACGCGCGCUCCGCAAUCGCCCUUUUUUUAUUUUUUUUUUUUUUUUCCCCGGGCGUGCGUGUCGUGUGUGUGGGUGCGAGUGUGGUGCCUGUCAAGGGGCUGUUUCUCUCCCCACCCUCCUCCUCCUCCUUCUUCCAAAUAUGCUUUUUGCAAGUUUUGAUCUCGUCUCGGCACUGGCUACCCUCGCCGCGUGCUUGGUGUCACUGACUUUGCUGCUGGCCGUGUCCCAACAGCUGUGGCAGCUCCGCUGGGCUGCCACCCGCGACAAAACCUGCAAGCUACCAAUCCCCAAAGGCUCCAUGGGAUUCCCUU
RNAcentral lists this long non-coding RNA (1274 nucleotides) under Manacus vitellinus (golden-collared manakin). Its description in RNAcentral is "lncRNA (ENSMVIG00005006693.1)". The record is from RNAcentral. Lineage: Eukaryota; Metazoa; Chordata; Aves; Passeriformes; Pipridae.